GGCCUGUUAGCUCAGUUGGUUAGAGCGCCGUGUUAAUAACGCGGAGGUCAUGAGUUCGAUCCUCUUACGGGCCA
Molecule: transfer RNA, 74 nt
Filed under: Daphnia pulex (common water flea)
Lineage: Eukaryota; Metazoa; Arthropoda; Branchiopoda; Diplostraca; Daphniidae
Rfam family: tRNA
About the family: Transfer RNA (tRNA) molecules are approximately 80 nucleotides in length. Their secondary structure includes four short double-helical elements and three loops (D, anti-codon, and T loops).
Source: Rfam by way of RNAcentral